AUACGGAGGGUGCAAGCGUUACUCGGAAUCACUGGGCGUAAAGCGCGCGCAGGCGGCUAUUUAAGUUGGAUGUGAAAGCCCACGGCUCAACCGUAGAACUGCAUCCAAAACUAUUUAGCUAGAGUGUGGGAGAGGAAGAUGGAAUUAGUUGUGUAGGGGUAAAAUCCGUAGAGAUAACUAGGAAUACCAAAAGCGAAGGCAAUCUUCUGGAACACUACUGACGCUGAGGCAUGAAAGCGUGGGGAGCAAACAGGAUUAGAUACCCUAGUAGUCC
RNAcentral lists this ribosomal RNA (274 nucleotides) under uncultured bacterium. Its description in RNAcentral is "partial 16S ribosomal RNA". It matches the Rfam family "Bacterial small subunit ribosomal RNA", at positions 523 to 796 of the family's 1533-position model. The record is from RNAcentral.